AGUGAACGCUGGCGGUAGGCCUAACACAUGCAAGUCGAACGGCAGCACAGUAAGAGCUUGCUCUUACGGGUGGCGAGUGGCGGACGGGUGAGGAAUACAUCGGAAUCUACUUUUUCGUGGGGGAUAACGUAGGGAAACUUACGCUAAUACCGCAUACGACCUACGGGUGAAAGCAGGGGAUCUUCGGACCUUGCGCGAUUGAAUGAGCCGAUGUCGGAUUAGCUAGUUGGCGGGGUAAAGGCCCACCAAGGCGACGAUCCGUAGCUGGUCUGAGAGGAUGAUCAACCACACUGGAACUGAGACACGGUCCAGACUCCUACGGGAGGCAGCAGUGGGGAAUAUUGGACAAAGGGCGCAAGCCUGAUCCAGCCAUACCGCGUGGGUGGAGAAGGCCUUCGGGUUGUAAAGCCCUUUUGUUGGGAAAGAAAAGCAGCAGGUUAAUACCCCGCUGUUCUGACGGUACCCAAAGAAUAAGCACCGGCUAACUUCGUG
RNAcentral lists this ribosomal RNA (492 nucleotides) under uncultured bacterium. Its description in RNAcentral is "partial 16S ribosomal RNA". It matches the Rfam family "Bacterial small subunit ribosomal RNA", at positions 29 to 507 of the family's 1533-position model. The record is from RNAcentral.